AAAAAGAUAAGCUAAAUAAGCUGAUGGGUUCAUACCCCGUAUAUAAAGGUUCAGUCCUUUUCUUUUUA
RNAcentral lists this transfer RNA (68 nucleotides) under Histeroidea sp. 4 KM-2017. Its description in RNAcentral is "tRNA-Met". It matches the Rfam family "tRNA". From Rfam's summary of the family: Transfer RNA (tRNA) molecules are approximately 80 nucleotides in length. Their secondary structure includes four short double-helical elements and three loops (D, anti-codon, and T loops). Further hydrogen bonds mediate the characteristic L-shaped molecular structure. tRNAs have two regions of fundamental functional importance: the anti-codon, which is responsible for specific mRNA codon recognition, and the 3' end, to which the tRNAs corresponding amino acid is attached (by aminoacyl-tRNA synthetases). tRNAs cope with the degeneracy of the genetic code in two manners: having more than one tRNA (with a specific anti-codon) for a particular amino acid; and 'wobble' base-pairing, i.e. permitting non-standard base-pairing at the 3rd anti-codon position. The record is from RNAcentral. Lineage: Eukaryota; Metazoa; Arthropoda; Insecta; Coleoptera.